CAGCAGCCGCGGUAAAACGUAGGGUGCAAGCGUUAAUCGGAAUUGCUGGGCGUAAAGCGUGCGCAGGCGGUUAUAUAAGUCAGAUGUGAAAUCCCCGGGCUCAACCUGGGAACUGCAUUUGAGACUGUAUGGCUAGAGUGUGUCAGAGGGGGGUAGAAUUCCACGUGUAGCAGUGAAAUGCGUAGAUAUGCGGAGGAACACCGAUGGCGAAGGCAAUCCCCUGGGCCUGCACUGACGCUCAUGCACGAAAGCGUGGGGAGCAAACAGGAUUAGAGACCCCAGUAGUCCCUGUCUCUUAUAC
RNAcentral lists this ribosomal RNA (301 nucleotides) under uncultured bacterium. RNAcentral's name for it is "partial 16S ribosomal RNA". It matches the Rfam family "Bacterial small subunit ribosomal RNA", at positions 509 to 807 of the family's 1533-position model. The record is from RNAcentral.